AUGGCCGGCUGCGGAGAGAAGAGCGACGCCGGCGUUGGCCUGUACGCCGUGCUCGGCGUUGCGAGCGACUGCUCCGACGCGGAGCUGCGCAGCGCCUACAGGAAGCUGGCCAUGAAAUGGCACCCGGACAAGUGCGGCAGCGGCAGCUCCGGCGGCUCGGAGGCCGCCAAGGCCAGGUUCCAGAAGAUCCAGGCAGCAUACGCUGUUCUGUCGGACCCCAACAAGCGUAUCCUCUACGACGUUGGAGCCUACGAGAGCGAUGGCGAUGACGAGGGUGCAGGAGAAAUACUGGGAGACAUCCUGGAGGCCAUGAACCACACACCUCCACACGAAGACGGCGAGAGCGAGAGCCUGGAGGACCUGCACAAGCAGUUCGAGGAGCUGUUCCUCAAACCGGACGCCUACGCGUACGCGCGCUCCUCCAAGUCCUCCUCGUCGUCGUCCAAGAUAAGUGCCGGCAAGAAGUAG
This 468-nucleotide ribosomal RNA is filed under the name Triticum aestivum (bread wheat). Its description in RNAcentral is "partial small subunit ribosomal RNA". The record is from RNAcentral. Lineage: Eukaryota; Viridiplantae; Streptophyta; Magnoliopsida; Poales; Poaceae.